RNAcentral lists this unclassified non-coding RNA (391 nucleotides) under soil metagenome. RNAcentral's name for it is "partial contains 5.8S ribosomal RNA, internal transcribed spacer 2, and large subunit ribosomal RNA". The stretch from base 1 to 122 matches the Rfam family "5.8S ribosomal RNA", at positions 35 to 154 of the family's 154-position model. The record is from RNAcentral.
GAUGAAGAACGUAGCGAAAUGCGAUACUUGGUGUGAAUUGCAGAAUCCCGUGAACCAUCGAGUCUUUGAACGCAAGUUGCGCCCGAAGCCAUUAGGCCGAGGGCACGCCUGCCUGGGCGUCACACGUCGUUGCCCCCCCAUCUACUCCUUCGGGAUUGCGGGGGGCGGAUGAUGGCCUCCCGUGCGCCUCGUCGCGCGGUUGGCAUAAAUGCCAAGUCCUCGGCGACGCACGCCACGACAAUCGGUGGUUGCGAAACCUCGGUUGCCCGUCGUGUGCGGUCGUCGCGCAUCGAGGGCUCGAAAAAAUUGCCGUGCUCCGGCUCGGCUUUCAACGCGACCCCAGGUCAGGCGGGGUUACCCGCUGAAUUUAAGCAUAUCAAUAAGCGGAGGA